AAAGGUCGUAACAAAGGUCUCCGUUGGUGAAACCAGCGGAGGGAUCAUUACUGAGUACUACACUCUCUACCCUUUGUGAACUAUUAUACCUGUUGCUUCGGCGGCGCCCGCAAGGGUGCCCGCCGGUCUCAUCAGAAAUUCUCUGUUUUCGAACCCGACGAUACUUCUGAGUGUUCUUAGCGAACUGUCGAAAACUUUUAAACAACGGAUUCUCUUGGCUCCAGCAUCGAUGAAGAACGCAGCGAAAACGCGAUAUGUAAUGUGAAUUGCAGAAUUCAGUGAAAUCAUCGAAUCUUUUGAACGCACAUGGCGCCUUCCCAGUAUCCCUGGGAGGCAUGCCUGUCCGAGCGUCGUUUCAACCCUCGAGCCCCUGUGGCCCGGCGUUGGGGAUCUGCCACGGCAGGCCCCUAAAAACCAGUGGCGGACCCGAAGGGCCCUCUCCUUUGCGCAGUAGCAUUCGCCUCGCAUCGGGAGUCCUCGGCGUCCUGCCUCUAAACCCCCCAACAAGCCCGCUUCGGCGGCACCAAGGUUGACCUCGGAUCAGGUAGGAAUACCCGCUGAACUUAA
This 567-nucleotide ribosomal RNA is filed under the name uncultured fungus. RNAcentral's name for it is "eukaryotic LSU rRNA". The stretch from base 194 to 353 matches the Rfam family "5.8S ribosomal RNA". The record is from RNAcentral. Lineage: Eukaryota; Fungi.